GAAUGGAUUUGCAUGCUAAACGCCGAGGCGGCUCGGGGCUGCAGGCUCCACCCUGACCCGCGCGCUCCGGGGGGCGACCACACUGUCACCGCCCUCCGGCGCCGGGACCCAGCUCUCCUUCCUCUUCCGCAGUGGGUCAGAGCCUCGGCGCUUCCCCGGAAGGCUGUUCUCUAAAGCGAUCGUCUGUGUCCCUUUCUCGGCCGACCGCAGCCUGUACCCAGGGACUCCAGAAGGGCUCGGAAACUUUCUGGCAGAGUGGGAAAGGUUUGGUAGCCUGCGGCCUAGCGCCCUCUAGACCUACCCGGCUUUCAACUGUGCAGAGCGCUGCGGUAGAGGAUCCCCGUGUCUCUGGAAGUUCUGAAGAGAGACACAGCUCUGGAGGGACAUAGGGGUCACUCCAACCCAAAGGUUUUCACGUGACUGCAAUAUAGCCUCAAAAAUAUCCCUAGAAACCACACGCGAAGGCUUCGCGAGGAUGCUAUGAUAGUUUACUUUCCGAGUGCAUAAAGUCUUCGGCCAGGAAACCUCAACACAAUACUACAGCACUACAGCAAACAGAAAUGGCUAUGAGAGGAAGUUGGGUGGGGAAAGGUGGGGCUUCUAGUUCGUUCCUGUGAAGGCUUCCUAGCGCCUCGAAAGCGGAAUGUGAGGCCUCGGGUUCCUUUCCGCCAUCUGUGAAUCGCACCAGAAAAUUUCAGUCUAAGGCAGUUCUUAGUAAUAUUUUAUUUGUUCCCUGAAAUUUUAAUACACAUACACAAGAAGCCGGCUUUCUGGUCCUGGGUAGCGAUUCUAGAGGUCCAGGAGCACUGGUUUUCCAGGUCCCUCCCUCCCUCUUUCUCUUCUGUACUUAAAAAGACCGUGCACCAGAGAAGCGGAUGAGUAAGUUCAAAGGCCCUUUAGAUCCAGCCCUGGUCUCUAUGACCUCCUACUUCCUGUACUUUCUCAGUCAUGCGCAAAUUGCAGCCCACAGAACUCCACCUCUGCCAGGGAGCCUUCCCUGGACUCCCCGAGGAAUGAGACAGAUCGCUGUCUUCAAAUUUCCAUCUUGUUUGCACUAGGCUCAUUCUGAAGUUCCAGAUUUAUUCUGCCGGGCCCCCCUCCGAGAUCCUUCCCGUCUUGAGGACUUCACUACCUCUGCCACUCCCGUGGACCACGCCAGCAUUUCCUCCUGCUUGACUGCCUGGGGCUCCUAACUGCUUCUAACCAGCACCCAUCAGUCUUUCAUCACUGGACCAAAAGGAGGAUCCGAUCGGACCCUACAUCGGGCGUGUCCCUCUGCUCAGAGCCCUACAGUACCCACCCAGCUCACACAAGAGCAAGACCAAAGUCCUCCCAGUGACCUGAAAGACUGCCUGCCUGUGUCAGACCCACACUUGCUUCACUGGCCCAUCCCUCAACACUUUGCAAAGAAUGUGCUGGGUGUGACCUCACAGACUUCUUUUUCUCUUUGCCUAAAUGGCUAGUGCUUCCCCUACACUGUGUACACCUCUUUUCUCCUGACCUUCCCCAGGUCUCCUUCCUCCAUCACUCUGUGUGAUGAUGCCCAGCUCUAUUCUCCAAGCUUCCCUGCCUUGCCUGUUGAAAGUCUCUCUCCCCGUGUCUUAAUGUAAGAUCCAAAGAGUUCAGUUAUGUUUGUCAGCUUCGUUCAUUGCUAUAUCCCUAGUACCUAGAACAUGGCUGGGCUUUUAUAAUUAUGUGAUAUGUUGCUCAUUCACUUAUUCCAUCAAUAUUCAUUCAGGGUCUAUCACUGUGUUCCAGAAAGUGUGUUAAAAAUAAUCACUGCCCUCUUAGAGUUUAUAGUACACACACACACACACACACACACACACACACACACACACACACACACUGUUCAGGUAGUGAUGAACAUCACAAAAACAUUUGUGAAGUGAAAUAAAUGGAUAAAUAUAAGGAUAAUACAUUAUGGAGAGUAUCCAGGAAAGGUGUCUCUGUGAAAAUGAAAAUGGAACAGAAAAGAGAAGGUCAUAGCACGUUCUGGAAUAGUAGCAUUCUAGGUUUAUGUUAAACAAGUCCAAGGGGUCUGUGUGGGGAAUGAGUUUGUCUCUCAGUACAAGUUUAUGCGCAGUGUCAUCCACUUGUAUCCUGUAAACACCAAAGUGUCCUUGACGUAGUCACUGACUACAAACUGGAGAGAUGCUGUGUGCCUACAACAGGCCACAGUCAUUGUUCCAUACCUCUAGCGAUGACACAUUCAUCCACCUCAAGCUACUUCCUGCGGAGGAGUCCCUAGCAUUUCCUACAGAAGCCAGGUUGUGUAUGACAGACAUUAGUGGAUUAAACGAGAUUUGAGACACAAAUAUUUGAGAA
Peromyscus leucopus (white-footed mouse) is the source of this 2328-nucleotide long non-coding RNA. RefSeq lists it as uncharacterized. The record is from RefSeq and is a predicted model, not a curated record. Lineage: Eukaryota; Metazoa; Chordata; Mammalia; Rodentia; Cricetidae. The transcript has 2 exons.